AUGCGACCAUAUAGAUUAGCAUCUUUCAACAUACGCACAGGGUUGAAGCUGGCUACAAAAUUUUAUGGACCUUACAGAAUCCUACAGAAGAUAGGCAACUCCUCAUACAAACUGUUUCUACCUGAUAAUGUACAAAUACACAACGUCUUCCACGUCAGUCAAUUGAAAAGACACUUGGGACCCUUGGCCGUACCAGCUCCGGGGUUGCCAUUGGUGGACGAGUCAGGCAAGAUCAAGGUUUCUCCAGUAUUGGUAUUAGAAACUUGAGCUGUUCCACGACCUCCCAAACUUGUCACACAAUGGCUCGUGCAGUGGCUCAAUAUGUCACCUGAAGAAGCAACUUGGGAAGAUGCAGAUUUCAUUAAGUCCACCUUCCCUGAGUUCUUCAACUCCACCAUUCGCUCUUGGUUUCCUACCACCGAUCCUCGAGGGCAAUGA
RNAcentral lists this ribosomal RNA (438 nucleotides) under Triticum aestivum (bread wheat). Its description in RNAcentral is "partial small subunit ribosomal RNA". Lineage: Eukaryota; Viridiplantae; Streptophyta; Magnoliopsida; Poales; Poaceae. The record is from RNAcentral.